AAGGAUCAUUGUCGAAUCCUGCCUAGCAGAAUGACCAGAGAACCAGUAACAAACUCAAUGGGGACGGUGGGCCUCGCUCAACGUCUCCAGACGCUUGGAUGGCACGGGUGCCUACGGGCGCUCGGGCUUUUCUCGGCGGCACAACGAACCCCGGCGCGGAAUGCGCCAAGGAACUUUAACAAGAGAGCGAUGCUCCCGCCGCCCCAGACAUGGUGUGCGCGCGGGAUGCCAUGCAAUCUCCUAUUAUUCAUAACGACUCUCGGCAACGGAUAUCUCGGCUCUCGCAUCGAUGAAGAACGUAGCGAACUGCGAUACUUGGUGUGAAUUGCAGAAUCCCGUGAACCAUCGAGUCUUUGAACGCAAGUUGCGCCCGAAGCUUCGGUUGAGGGCACGUUUGCCUGGGUGUCACACAUGGCGUUGCCCCUAACCCCUCGCCUUGAAUUGGGCGGGCGGGACUUGGGUGCGUAUGUUGGCCUCCCGAGAUGACCUUAUCCCGGUUGGCCCAAAAUCGAGCGUUGGAGCGAUUAGCACCACGACAUUCGGUGGUUGAUGAGACCCCAAUGAUCAAUGUCGUGCGUGUCGCUCAUGCACAUGCUCCACGAAUCUACCUUUCACCAACGCGACCCCAGGUCA
This 633-nucleotide ribosomal RNA is filed under the name Syzygium sp. GW1719. Its description in RNAcentral is "eukaryotic LSU rRNA". The stretch from base 255 to 408 matches the Rfam family "5.8S ribosomal RNA". The record is from RNAcentral. Lineage: Eukaryota; Viridiplantae; Streptophyta; Magnoliopsida; Myrtales; Myrtaceae.